GAUGAACGCUAGCUACAGGCUUAACACAUGCAAGUCGAGGGGUAACGAGAGGAAAGCUUGCUUUCCUUGUCGACGACCGGCGCACGGGUGAGUAACGCGUAUCCAACCUGCCCCCAACUAGGGAAUAACCUUGCGAAAGUAAGACUAAUACCCUAUAAUUUCCUCAGAUGUCAUCUGACGAGGAAUAAAGAUUUAUCGGUUGGGGAAGGGGAUGCGUCUGAUUAGCUUGUUGGCGGGGUAACGGCCCACCAAGGCAACGAUCAGUAGGGGUUCUGAGAGGAAGGUCCCCCACAUUGGAACUGAGACACGGUCCAAACUCCUACGGGAGGCAGCAGUGAGGAAUAUUGGUCAAUGGGCGGAAGCCUGAACCAGCCAAGUAGCGUGCAGGAUGACGGCCCUAUGGGUUGUAAACUGCUUUUAUACAGGAAUAAAGUUAGCCACGUGUGGUUAUUUGUAGGUACUGUAUGAAUAAGGACCGGCUAAUUCCGUGCCAGCCGCCGCGGUAA
RNAcentral lists this ribosomal RNA (506 nucleotides) under uncultured bacterium. RNAcentral describes it as "partial 16S ribosomal RNA". It matches the Rfam family "Bacterial small subunit ribosomal RNA", at positions 28 to 523 of the family's 1533-position model. The record is from RNAcentral.